This 503-nucleotide ribosomal RNA is filed under the name uncultured bacterium. RNAcentral's name for it is "partial 16S ribosomal RNA". It matches the Rfam family "Bacterial small subunit ribosomal RNA", at positions 30 to 523 of the family's 1533-position model. The record is from RNAcentral.
AUUGAACGCUGGCGGCAGGCUUAACACAUGCAAGUCGAGCGGGGUGAUGGUGCUUGCACUAUCACUUAGCGGCGGACGGGUGAGUAAUGCUUAGGAAUCUGCCUAUUAGUGGGGGACAACAUCUCGAAAGGGAUGCUAAUACCGCAUACGUCCUACGGGAGAAAGCAGGGGAUCACUUGUGACCUUGCGCUAAUAGAUGAGCCUAAGUCGGAUUAGCUAGUUGGUGGGGUAAAGGCCUACCAAGGCGACGAUCUGUAGCGGGUCUGAGAGGAUGAUCCGCCACACUGGGACUGGGACACGGCCCAGACUCCUACGGGAGGCAGCAGUGGGGAAUAUUGGACAAUGGGCGGAAGCCUGAUCCAGCCAUGCCGCGUGUGUGAAGAAGGCCUUUUGGUUGUAAAGCACUUUAAGCGAGGAGGAGGCUACUCAGAUUAAUACUCUGGGAUAGUGGACGUUACUCGCAGAAUAAGCACCGGCUAACUCUGUGCCAGCCGCCGCAGUAA